Molecule: transfer RNA, 92 nt
Organism: Felis catus (domestic cat)
Lineage: Eukaryota; Metazoa; Chordata; Mammalia; Carnivora; Felidae
Rfam family: tRNA
About the family: Transfer RNA (tRNA) molecules are approximately 80 nucleotides in length. Their secondary structure includes four short double-helical elements and three loops (D, anti-codon, and T loops).
Source: Rfam
GCCUGGGUGGCUUAGUCAGUUGAGUGUCUGACUGUGGAUUUCGGCUCAGGUCGUGAUCUCAUGGUUCGUGGGUUUGAGUCCCACCUCAGGCU